This is a long non-coding RNA of Podarcis muralis (Common wall lizard), 4171 nucleotides long. The record is from Ensembl. Lineage: Eukaryota; Metazoa; Chordata; Lepidosauria; Squamata; Lacertidae.
CUGAUUAUUAUUAUUAUUACAGUGGUACCUCGGGUUACAUAUGCUACAGGUUACAAACGCUUCAGGUUAUAGACUCCGCUAACCCAGAAAUAGUACCUCGGUUUAAGAACUUUGCUCCAGGAUGAGAACAGAAAUCGCGCAGCGGCGGUGUGGCGGCAGCGGGAGGCCCCAUUAGCUAAAGUGGUGCUUCAGGUUAAGAACGGACCUCCGGAACGAAUUAAGUACUUAACCAGAGGUGCCACUGUAGUAAUAAUAAUAAUAAUAAUAAUAAUAAUUUAUUAUUUAUACCCCGCCCCUCUGGCUGGGUUUCCCCAGCCACUCUGGGCGGCUUCCAACAAAAUAUUAAAAUACAAUGGUCUGUUAAACAUUAAAAGCUUCCCUAAACAGGGCUGCCUUCAGAUGUCUUCUAAAAGUCUGGUAGUUGUUGUCCUCUUUGACAUCUGGCGGGAGGGUGUUCCACAGGGAGGGCGCCACUACCGAGAAGGCCCUCUGCCUGGUUCCCUGUAACUUGGCUUCUCGCAGGGAGGGAACCGCCAGAAGGCCCUUGGCACUGGACCUCAGUGUCCAGGCAGAACGAUCGGAGAUAUACUGGACUGAGGCCAUUUAGGGCCUUUGAACACUUUGAAUUGUGCUUGGAAACGAAAAUCUACCCGCCUGGCGCUCUCCUCACCCCCGAUGUCUCCCCCCCUCUUUUCCCCUGCAACGCAGCAGCUUUCAGAUUGUGGCGCCUUCAGAAGGAGCGUCUGGAGAAAGAGGAGAUUCGCGCCCAGGAAGCUCUCGCCCUCCUGGAGAAAAAGAGGCUGGUGAGCGCGUUUGAGGCCUGGCGUUCCCGCUACAGGGCAGCCCGGCGGAUCCUGCCAUUGGUGGCUCAGGUGCAGAGAGGGCUGCUAAGCCGCCAUUUCCCCAGUGACUCGCAAGAUCUCGCUGCCACAGAUCUUCACAUGCAAGCGCCGUUCCCUCUGGGUUAUGGCCACACCCAGAAUCGGAGGCAGCUGCUGGCGAAAUGCUUUGCGUUUUGGUCGGCCAGGACUGUGCAAAACCUGAAGGCAGAACAACACCGCAAGCGGGCUCUCCUCUCCGGAUCUCAGGCCCAACUGAACAGGCCUCGGUCCAGUAUACCUGAAGGAGCAUCUCCACCUCCAUUGUUCUGCCUGGACACUGAGGUCCAAGCGCCAAGGGCCUUCUGGCGGUUCCCUUGCAAUGAGAAGCCAAGUUACAGGGAACCAGGCAGAGGGCCUUCUCGGUAGUGGCGCCUGCCCUGUGGAACGCCCUCCCGCCAGAUGUCAAAGAGGAAAAAAACUACCAAACUUUUAGAAGACAUCUGAAGGCAGCCCUGUUUAGGGAAGCUUUUAAUGUUUAAUAGGUUAUUGUAUUUUAGUGUUCUGUUGGAAGCCGCCCGGAGUGGCUGGGGAAACCCAGCCAGAUGGGUGGCGUAUAAAUAAUAAAUUAUUAAUUAUUAUUAUUAUUAUUAUUAUUAUUCCUCCCUGCAUCCAGAAAACUCCUCCAGGGAACGAUAUGCUCAGCUGAUCAGAUUCUCUGGCUAAACAGGAGGCACUGAAACUGGGCCACAAGGAGGAGCCAUGAACCCAAUGCCAAUUGUCCUAGCAGAGGCUGAACAGUUCUCAAAAUAUUCUCCAGAGAUCACAAGCAGAGGGUUUGCUCCCCACAUACGCUCUCAGUCCAAGCAUCCCAAGUUUCCACGGAAACGUUUUCACUGCCAGCCUACCAGAGGAAGGACCAGGGUCGGAUUAAACCCAGUGGAGGCUCCUAGGCAGUCAGAAUCUCGCAGGCCCCCUCACAAAUUAUUUCCCAAUUUUCUUUCAAGAUCAAAUCAAUAUUAUUUUGUUGUUGUUUUUGUUUUUUCCAUAAAUUUUUAUUAAUUUUCCAACAUAAAUUAAAAACAAUACAAAACACAAUACAUAGACAAACAAACAUAUAAACACGUAUAAUUUCAAAACCUCUUUUUCAUAAAUCUUACUUCCCCGACUUCCCCAUGCCUCCCCUUUCUGCAUCCCUAUUUUAAAAUUUCUUCAGCAACCCCUCACUUCAACUGAUUACUCAUUUUCUUUAUUUCCCCCCCUUCUUCUCUUACUUAAUCAUUUACAGCUGUACUUCUAUAUUGUUUCUUUACCCAUGGCAUUCUAGCACUCAUUAAUUUUACAACAGUUCUUAAGAUAUACUUUAAAUUUCUUCCAAUCUUCUUCCGCCGUCUCUUUUCCUUGAUCACGGAUUCUGCCAGUCAUCUCCGCCAGUCCCAUAUAAUCAAUCACCUUCGUCUGCCAUUCUUCCAGCGUGGGUAGUUCUUGUGUCUUCCAAUACUUUGCUAAAAGAACCCUUGCUGCUGUGGUAGCAUACAUAAAAAACAUCCUGUCCUUCCUUGACACCAAUUGGCCAACCAUGCCAAUCAAUAUUAUUUUGAUCCGUUGUUGAGGGGCCCCUAGGCUCGUAGGCCAGUGCCCAGUCUGUCUGUUUGGUAAUCUGGCACUGAGGAAGGACGCACCUUGACAUUGACAAUGUGGUAAUUCACUCGCUGGCCGUAGUUCUUCAACACUGUUUGGAGGGCUCUGACGUUCUCGCUGGAGGUGAAGAACUCCAGGUAAGCCUGGAAGGAGUCGAGAGAGGAGAUGUUGACACCAAAGAAUCCCAGCAAUGGCACAAUUUAAAUGUUUAAAUUAAUUUGGGGGGGAGAGAGCAGAGGUUUUUCUAUUAGGAAUUGUAGGUGCCGAUAUUCCAAGGGAGCAGAAAAUACUUUUUAUGUAUGUGACGACAGCCACCCGGUUGUUACUGGCCCAGAGAUGGAAAGAAGACAAAGUCCCUAAUGGGGAACCCAGAAUAAUGGUGCGCAAGGCCUUAUAUAGACAUUUUAAAUUCCCUGCCCUGUCACUCAAGACUACCCGUCCAUACAUCAUACCUACAUCACAGAAAAGGCGGUCUACAAUUUAAAUGUUGGACUACAGAAAUUUAAAAUUCAGUACCAAAUUAUCUAAGGUUGUUCACCAAAGCCAGACUAAACGUCUUUCCUUCUGCAGUGUUGGAUGGCAGGUUGAGAGGAGUUCCCUACCAGGACAGACUUUGCUCAUGUGCUCAAGACAUCGAUUCUAUAAAACAUAUUUUGCUGCGAAACAUGAGCAAGCCAAGGCUGAACUGAUAUUACCCUUGCUGGUACCUUUCCUGGGAAAAUCAGAGGCUCAUUAUGUCAGGUUCCUAUUGGAAGACCGGACAAACGCUAGAACAUUAGCAGUGGCAAAGUUUUUAUCGGUGGUUGCAAGAACCAAUGAUCCCUGACUUUAAGUCUGAACAAAAUGCUUGUUUAACCUGGAGGUAGGCUGUCUGAAUUGUGCAUUGCUUUGUAACAAUUUGUUGGGUCUCUGGACCGUAAUAAAGGGGGGAAAAAUCAAUGCUAAAAGCAGUUCAAAACAAUUUACAGUCACAGCGAUCUGCUGUGACCUGAAAAACGUGUCUCUUGGAUCAUAGAAUCAUAGAGUUGUAAGGGACCCGAGGGUCAUCUAGUCCAACCCCCUGCAAGGCAGGAAUCUCAGCUCAAGCAUCCAUGGCAGAUGCCCAUCCAACUCCUUUCCUGCAACUUGAAGCAACUGGUUUGAAUCCUACCUUCCAGAGCAGGAGGAAACAAGCUUGCUCCAUCCUCCAUGUGACAGCCAUCUUUGAAGAUGGCUACCAUAUCUCCUCUCAGUCUCCUCUUUUGCAGGCUAAACAUCCCCAGCUCCUUCAACCGUUCCUCACAAGGCUUAGCUUCUAGAUCAUCCUAGUUGCCCUCCUCUGCACACGCGAAGCCAAAGUGGUUGUGUCUUCAGCCUGUGAUGGGAGCAAUACAAUGAAGGUGCAUGAUCCAGGGGGCACGACUCUAAAUCCGGCCCUACUUCCCUGCCAGUUGGGCCUCGCUUGCACCUUCCUGCUUGGCCUCCACGUAUAGGGGCCUCUGUUCGACAUAUGCGGACGGCGCUUCCUCAGAGACAUCUGCGGCGGCCUCCUCAAAUCCCACCUGCAACAUCAGGAAGGAACCCUGUCAGGACAGAGCAACAGGGCAAGGAGGGAGAGGCCUGGGCGGAAAACCCAGAGCCUCCCUCAAACCCCACCCUGAAGCCAUCACCCAGCCAUACCCUCCAACGUUCCUUAGAUGAAAAGAGGGGCAUUUGUCACUCCCCACUCAACU